Molecule: ribosomal RNA, 501 nt
Filed under: uncultured bacterium
Lineage: Bacteria
Description: partial 16S ribosomal RNA
Rfam family: Bacterial small subunit ribosomal RNA
Source: RNAcentral
AUUGAACGCUGGCGGCAGGCUUAACACAUGCAAGUCGAGCGGGGGAAGGUAGCUUGCUACCGGACCUAGCGGCGGACGGGUGAGUAAUGCUUAGGAAUCUGCCUAUUAGUGGGGGACAACAUCUCGAAAGGGAUGCUAAUACCGCAUACGUCCUACGGGAGAGAGCAGGGGAUCUUCGGACCUUGCGCUAAUAGAUGAGCCUAAGUCGGAUUAGCUAGUUGGUGGGGUAAAGGCCUACCAAGGCGACGAUCUGUAACGGGUCUGAGAGGAUGAUCCGCCAAACUGGGACUGAGACACGGCCCAGACUCCUACGGGAGGCAGCAGUGGGGAAUAUAGGACAAUGGGGGGAACCCUGAUCCAGCCAUGCCGCGUGUGUGAAGAAGGCCUUAUGGUUGUAAAGCACUUUAAGCGAGGAGGAGGCUACUUUAGUUAAUACCUAGAGAUAGUGGACGUUACUCGCAGAAUAAGCACCGGCUAACUCUGUGCCAGCCGCCGCAGUAA